GGGUUAGUAGUUAAUAAUAAUAAUAAGAGUUUUGUAAACUUUAGUAAGCUGGGUCUCUAGCCCU
Molecule: transfer RNA, 64 nt
Filed under: Paratapes undulatus (undulate venus clam)
Lineage: Eukaryota; Metazoa; Mollusca; Bivalvia; Venerida; Veneridae
Description: tRNA-Thr
Source: RNAcentral